This 463-nucleotide ribosomal RNA is filed under the name uncultured bacterium. RNAcentral describes it as "bacterial SSU rRNA". It matches the Rfam family "Bacterial small subunit ribosomal RNA", at positions 355 to 823 of the family's 1533-position model. The record is from RNAcentral.
UCGGGAAUUUUGGGCAAUGGGCGAAAGCCUGACCGAGCGAUGCCGCGUGCGGGAUGAAGGCCUUCGGGUUGUAAACCGCUGUCGUAGGGGAGAAAGGGUCGUUGAAGAAACGACUUUGAUCUAUCCUAGGAGGAAGUCCGGGCUAAGUUCGUGCCAGCAGCCGCGGUAACACGAACCGGACAAACGUUAUUCGGAAUUACUGGGCUUAAAGGGUGCGUAGGCGGUGCGGUAAGUGCGGUGUGAAAUCCCACGGCUCAACCGUGGAAUUGCGCUGCAUACUGCCGUGCUAGAGGGAGACAGGGGUAAGCGGAACUGAUGGUGGAGCGGUGAAAUGCGUUGAUAUCAUCAGGAACACCGGUGGCGAAAGCGGCUUACUGGGUCUCUUCUGACGCUGAGGCACGAAAGCUAGGGUAGCGAACGGGAUUAGAUACCCGCGUAGUCCCUGAGCGGGCUGGCAAGGCGC